CCUACGGGAGGCUGCAGUGGGGAAUAUUGGACAAUGGGCGAAAGCCUGAUCCAGCCAUGCCGCGUGUGUGAAGAAGGCCUUCGGGUUGUAAAGCACUUUCAGUGGGGAAGAAAGCCUUGGGGCUAAUACCCUCGAGGAAGGACAUCACCCACAGAAGAAGCACCGGCUAACUCCGUACCAGCAGCCGCGGUAAUACGGAGGGUGCGAGCGUUAAUCGGAAUUACUGGGCGUAAAGCGCGCGUAGGCGGUCUGAUAAGCCGGUUGUGAAAGCCCCGGGCUCAACCUGGGAACGGCAUCCGGAACUGUCAGGCUAGAGUGCAGGAGAGGAAGGUAGAAUUCCCGGUGUAGCGGUGAAAUGCGUAGAGAUCGGGAGGAAUACCAGUGGCGAGGCGGCCUUCUGGACUGACACUGACGCUGAGGUGCGAAAGCGUGGGUAGCAAACAGGAUUAGAUACCCUGGUAGUC
RNAcentral lists this ribosomal RNA (464 nucleotides) under Vreelandella stevensii. RNAcentral describes it as "partial 16S ribosomal RNA". It matches the Rfam family "Bacterial small subunit ribosomal RNA", at positions 338 to 795 of the family's 1533-position model. The record is from RNAcentral. Lineage: Bacteria; Pseudomonadati; Pseudomonadota; Gammaproteobacteria; Oceanospirillales; Halomonadaceae.